Long non-coding RNA from Daucus carota subsp. sativus, 471 nucleotides. RefSeq lists it as uncharacterized. The record is from RefSeq and is a predicted model, not a curated record. The transcript is spliced from 2 exons. Lineage: Eukaryota; Viridiplantae; Streptophyta; Magnoliopsida; Apiales; Apiaceae.
UAUAUAUAAUUGCAAGAUAUUUGUUUCCUCCCUUACGGAGUAAAUAUGCCAUUGCAAUUUAUCUUAUGCAGUGGAAGCACCAUAGUAGGAGUUGGCUCUCCAGAUCCACCACAAUUUGUAUAUGACGAUGAAGAAUAUCAGGAUGUAUUUUUGUCAGAAGCCAGCUUUAUUACUCGCGAACCUAAUCAGUGGUACAGAGAACCUUAUGCAAGCAGUGCUGGUGCCGAUUCGACUGCAGACUUUGCUCAAAGUGUUUAAGACUAAAUAUGUGAAACUUUCCUGUAAUUGUAGCUCUGUUUCCCUUUCCUGCCGUAAUGUUGUUGUGCUUAAACACUUAUGAACAACAUUAGUUGCUAUUAUUAUUCUUAUCACAUUGAUGUUAGUUUUAAAGUUGAUCACAAAACACACUUUAACAUUUCUGUGUCUUUUUACACCUCUUUGUUUUCAAUAAAAGAUGCACUAAAUGGUAAA